GCCAGAUUAAUUAUGCCUUCUGGUGGAUCAAACCUAUUUCCACCGGUAAAUGGUUCUUUUCCUCUUAAAGGUUGAUGCUGAGAAGUUGCAGAUUCUGUCCGUCCUGAUACAGGUUUAUGCUCAUGUUUUGUUUCUGAGAUUGCAGAAGCCAACUCUUUGUAUUUCUCGAACUGCAUCAAACCAUCUUCAACAGUGGCAGGGCUGAAGUAUGAUGGUUUUGCAGCCACAGAAGACUUCUCAGGCUGAGAAACUAUAUUUCCUUCAUUCAAAGGAUCAACAGCUUCAGCAAUUGAUUCUUGGGCUAUACCAGAACGUGACUGGAGUAAUAGAAAUUGAGAAGCAAUCGAAUCAUCAGACUUCGACAACCGAUUCAAAAGUUCAGCCUGCUCCCUAGGAAUUCUCUCUGAAUGAAAGACUCGUGAAGGGCGUGUAGGUGUAUCAGUGUAGUUAAGAUCAGUCAUAUCCUCGUUUUCAGAAUAUCCAGAAGUAAAAGCCCCAACAGAUGUGAAAUGGUCAUCUUCUUUGAAAUCAGAACUAUAGCCAGUAUCAACAGCAUCAACAUGCGUUGUCCCAAGCACAGGCUCUAGGUGCUUCCCACUAUAGUUUGAAGCUUCCACUUGCACAUGGUUUGAAACCAAACCAGUGUGUUGCUGCAAGGGUGCAGUAAAUUCAUUUACUACAGGAGGAAUAGAGUCACUUUCACUUUUUCGCUGGGGAACACUAUCAACUGGCAAUUUCGCAUCCAUCACCUGUGCCUCUGGAUCAUACAUUCUGGUGACACCAUAUUGACCUUCCGUCGCAGCAUGACGAAGAGAUGCUAACUGAGGCUGUGGCAUGGGAACAAAUGAUCCUCCAACUGGAGCAUACUGGGAAGUAUAGUUAUAAUCAGAUGGCACAGAGU
Molecule: unclassified non-coding RNA, 901 nt
Filed under: Hevea brasiliensis (rubber tree)
Lineage: Eukaryota; Viridiplantae; Streptophyta; Magnoliopsida; Malpighiales; Euphorbiaceae
Source: RNAcentral